Long non-coding RNA from Cannabis sativa, 7403 nucleotides. RefSeq lists it as uncharacterized. The record is from RefSeq and is a predicted model, not a curated record. The transcript is spliced from 2 exons. NCBI's taxonomy places the organism in Eukaryota, Viridiplantae, Streptophyta, Magnoliopsida, Rosales, Cannabaceae.
AGACCUAGCUAGAAGAAAAAGAAGAAGAAGAAGAAGAAGAGGAAGAGGCAAGUGUGUGGAGAUGAUGGGAGAGGACUAAGUUCAUGAAAUAAAGAGAUAGUAGGUAUAAAGUCACAAACAUAUGAAGAAAGAGAAAUUUCAAGAAGAAAGCUCAUCCAUCAACCAAAGAAAAGAAAGAAAGAAAAUGAUGAUAACAUAAUGGUGAUAGACUGCUAGUACUUACACAAGUAUAAAUGUACACCAUUAUUUAUUUAUUUUUUUUUUUUGAAAAAAAUGUACACCAUUAUUAAUAGGUAGUAGUUGCAAUUUUUUAUAGUAUAGUUUUUAAAUUAAAUUUUGUGAGAUUUAAUUAAUAUUAAAUUGUAAACACAUUUAUGUAGUUGUGUUGGGCAUUUAAUAUUUUUCAUAUAAGAGAUUUUAAAUUGGGAUUUUUAUAAAAAAAUAUUAGAUUUUGAGUAAAAAUUUACAAUUUUAUUGCUACAUGAAAAUUCUUAUAAUAAUACUGUCUUUUUAUAAAAUAACCGUAAAACAAUAAAAUAAAACAAUUAAAAACAAAAGUAGAACAACUAAAAAAUAAUCCUUGAACAACUGAAAACUUAACACAGUACACAAUAUUUUUGAAAAAAAUUCUGUCCCACAAUAAAAAAGAAAAAAAGUAGAAAAUUUUAGUAUAUGAUAUAGAAAUCCCUAUAAAAUUUGUGUUAAAUUUGAGACAACAAAUGAGAUUGUGUUAUAUUUAGCCCACUAUUUACAAUUAUACUUCAAUACACAAUAUGUAAAAUAAGUAAAAAAAAUAUUAAUUAUUAUUGAUGAGCAAUUGAGAAUACAUUUUUUUUUAUCUUUUUAUUGUAUAAAUAAUGGUAAUAAGGUAAAUAAUUUAUGUAAAGUUUUUAAAAGUUAAUAUAUCAUAAUAAUUCAUGUCAUAAUAGUAAAUCAAAAAGUGGCAUUUAUUGUGGGCCAAAUUUAGUAAAUGUUAUAUCUUGUGUUAAAUUUGGUACAAUUGUUAGCAGCAUGUUACAAAUUUGGUACAUUUUUUAGAAUACCAUUAGAAUUGUAUUAAUUUUAAGUGUGGUAAAAUAUCACAAUACACUGUUUAACACUCUAUUGGAGAUAUUUUAAGGAUAACAUGUUAUAUCUUUUUUUUUGAAAGGUAAUUCAUUCACUGAAACAUUCUUACAAAAGGAUAAGGCCAUACAACCUUUAUAUAGCAUAAAUGACACGAGGGAGAACAACCCCAAUUCACAUGGUACUAAUUUUGUUAAUCAAAGCAUAAUUUGCUAAAAUAUGAGCCAUCAUAUUGGCCUCACGAUACACAAAAGACAAUCCAAGCAUGAUUCAUCAACGUUGAAUUUCCUGUAGAAUAACAUCCACAUCAUGACAACCCCCAUCUUCUCCCUGCAUUAAGCUAAUUGCUUCUCUACAAUUCGAUUCAGUAGUAAAGUGAGGGAGUUGUCAUUGAAUGCCAAUCUGUAAGCCUUCCCAAAUCGUAAGGAGCUCAGUUGUGACUAGCAAUAAAUCAUCCUGAAUAAAUUUUGAUGCAGCAAAAAUAAUACUACCAUGUGCAUUAGGUACUACCGAGCCUAUCCCUCCUAUCGGAGUUUCAUUUUUUAAACUGGCAUCAACAUUCACUUUGUAACACCCUUCAAUGGGUGGUUGCCAACGUAUAUUUUGUCACUGUUCUUUAUGGACAUGUUUAUCUUUUGGUGCCUGAAACUCAUUCAAAUUAUUUUCAAACCAAUCUAGAACAUCCCUCCCUCUCGGCUUACACCCCCAUGUUUCAUGCUAUUACAUAUAGACCAUAAAUACUAUGAAACCAGUAGAAAAAAAAAAUUAAAUUUAUUUGGGUCCCAAAGGUGAGAUAAUCUCUAUCAAAUGAGAGUAUAUCAGUUUGAGCACAAGACAUUAUAUCACCUUUUAGCCCAUUAAGUUUCCAUAGUUCCUUAUUGACUGAGCACCCCAGAGAGUAUUAAAGAUUCCUUCUUUGUGUUUCCUUGAGCACAGAUCAGAAUCAGGUGUCACCCUCAACUUUCGUUUAUUGAGUUCAACAUUAGUUAGAAUCCAUGAGUGGCAUAUCUUCCAAAUAAAAUGUUUCACUUUUGGAGGUACCUUUAAUUUCUAUAGACCAAUUCUCCAUGGCAUGCGCAUUAGAUUAUCAUCUAAAAAUCUUCUCAUACCAUUCCAUAUAUAUAAUGGCAUCAUCAUCGAUCAUCAUCACAAAAGAAUCGCUCAUUUCCUUGAGAUGCAAAGAUCAUCCUUUCCAAAUCCAAAAAGUCAGGAAAUGAAAGGGCCUCUCACAUGGCUGUUUAUACUCACAACCAUUCUCUCUAAACUUGGACCCCAUUUUCAACAUGAUUUUUUAAUUCACCCAAAGUAUCCUUUUGCCAAUCUGGUACCCCUCCGGACUAAAUUUUUCACUCCAAAAUCCAUAGCCCAUCUUUUUUGGUACUUAACAUGCAUCUAUACGAUUAUUGUCAAAGUCCAAACUAUGCCUCUUCACACUGCUAUACAGUCUUUUCUCAAACAAGAACAAAUUAAGCAUGCCUACAAAAUUCAAAUGGACAUUUUGUCUAUGUACGCUCCUCUAGAAGAGUGGAAAAAAAUCCUUUGGUAUGAAUAGGAAAAGAAUCACAGCAAUAGGCACAUCUUUAUUUAUCCAUUAGGAACACAUGUAGUCAACAUGAUAGAUUUCUACACUAUUUUCCUUAUUAGUCUUAAUGCAAAAUUGGAUGAGAACAAGAAAAUAGUUUGCACUCCCACCUUUGAACUAUAAGAAGCACCUUUCAGAGAAAGUUAAGAGUAUAGGGAUCUCCAAAAGAUUAUUUUUGAGAAAAACUAGACUAUUCCACCAGAAAUUUGGCUAAAAAUAGAAGAUGAUGGAGGCAACAGUCGAGACUAAAUUUAAUGAUGACAUGAAGUUAGUGACCCUAUAGUCGGGGAUUUUGGUAGGUUCCCUAUUUUGGAAUGAAAUGCAAAGAUAAAGGUAUGACACUCUAUUGAUUUUUUGGCAAUAGGCCAAGGUUUUAUCAGUCUGGAAGAGUCUUACACUCGAGUCUUUAGGGGUGGCUCUAGUACCCUCAAUCAAUGUUAGUAUUUGCACCACAACUCCUGGUUCUAUCUAUUCUACCUCCUAAAACUUAGUACACAACUCCGACCAUCUAUGGACCCACUACCUCAGGGUAUGUGCUUCCACAGACAAGUUUCUCUGGCUUUAGAGUGGCACUGAUCAGAUGUAGUUGGCUUCUAGGUAGAUCCAGAUGAACCAAUAAGAGAAAGUUUCAGAAUCAGGUGUAAGCUAGUCUCGAAGCAAGAGAAGUGGAAAAAUUCAAAGUCUGAGUGAAGCUAUGAAGAAAGGAAGAAAGAGAUAUGAGGCCCAAUAUUCUGAGUAUACAAAUUGGAUCGACACUUGAGAUAAUUUCUAUAAAACCAUGUGCAACACGAUUCAUUACAGAAAGCCCCCUCUGAUGUAUAAUGGAGGCAAGCAUAAAACUGAUCCUAGUAAAAGGUGUGAGUAUCAUAAUAACAUUUGAAAUACUAUGAAUGAAUGCGAUUACUUAAAGGAUGAGAUCGAGAAUCUCAUAAAGAAUGGGUGCCUCCACGAGUGGGUGAGAAUCCUAAUCUUAUGAAUAAGACAAAGGGUAGCCCAAGGAAAACUGGUCAUUCCCAGACAACAUAGAGCCAUAAACCCUCCUCAAGGAGCAGUUUACUAACAAGAUCGGGGAGUUUAGGCCCCUCAGGGGGUCCCAAAUGUACAAGCACUCAAAAACAUACAAGCUUCUAGACCAGGGAAUCCCUAACCUCUAAGUGUUGCUCCACCCCGGUAGAUGGACACGUGUGACUAUUUCCAGAGGUCCACAUAUCGCCAGAAGUACUAACAAUUCCCAGAAGAGGUAUCUCAAUGAACUCGAAUAGGAUGGGGAAGUGUGUGCUCUAGUGAAAACACCAGCAUAGAGGCCAUAAAUUUUGAACUUUCCAAUCAUAUUCAUAGAAGAAGAUGUCAAGCAUGUUCAUCUCCCUCAUAAAAUAUGGAAGAGACAAUUCCUAGAGCACUUGCCUAGCUAGCACCAGGGACAGCCCGGGAAAAAGAUAAAUCAGACCCCCUAUAGGGGUGGAAAUAAUGAUAGAACCAUUGGGGGAUGUAGAAUAAGUAUGUAAUAGUGAAGCAGACCCCACAAAGUCAUUAAAGUGAGACGAAUUCUGCCCCCAACAAUAAAAGAACAAAUUAUGUCCACAGUGAAGCAAAACCAAGACAUCCUGGUGUGGAGCCAUGCAUAUAUGACAUGUAUCAGUCCCCAUAUAAUCUGUCAUGCCUUGAACAUAGAUUCAGAUGCCAACCCAACCAGGAAAAUGAAAGUGGAUACCACUUGAUCAGGUGCGCUCAAAAAAUGUGAAGGCAAAAGUCAACAAGUUAACCUCGAUAAAUUUCCUCAGGGAAACUGUAUAACCAGUUUGUCUUGCUAUCUAGUUCUGGUCCCUAAGAAAAAUAGGACAUUGAGAAUGUGCAUUGACUUCACAAAAUUAAAUAAGGCAUGUCUGAAGGAUUGCUUUCUGCUUCUGCGAAUAGACUAAAUGUUAAACACUACCUCUGGGUAUGAACUCCACAGUAUUAUGGACCCAUACUCCAACUACAAUCAGAUAAAAAUUCAUGUAGCAGGACAAGAGUAAACCAGCUUUCAAACAAACAAAGGUGUGUACUGCUACCUUGUAAUGCUCUUUGGGCUCAAAAAUGCCGGAACUACCUAUCAGUGUUUGGUAAUAAAAUGUUGAAAGAUAUUUUGGGGAAGAAUAUGGAACUUUAUGAGGACAACAUGUUAGUAAAGUCCAAGACUACUGGGGAGCACAAUAAUGAUUUGUUAGAGGCCUUCUCGAUAAUCUAAAAGUAUAGUAUAAAGCUGAAUCCAGAAAAAUGUACCUUUAAAGUCUCCUUAAGGAAAUUCCUAGGCUUCAUUGUCAACUUUUGAGGAAUCAAAGCAAACCCAGAGAAGAUGCGGGCUCUCCUAGAUAUGCCCUUCCUAAGAAAGCAUGAAGAUGUAGGCAGCUUAACCAGGAGGAUUGCAUCUCUCAGUAGAUUUUUGUCUAAAGAAACAGAUAAUGCAUUCCAUUUCUCAAGAUCUUACGCGGAAGCAAAACAUUCAAAUGGACCAGUGAGUGUGAAAAAGCCUUCUAAAGAUUAAAAGAGCAUUUGUCUAGGGCUCCCAUUUUGUUGAAGCCAGUUGAGGGAAAAAGUCAUUGUACCUAUAUUUGGUCAUGUCAGAUCAAGUCAUUAGUUGGCAUUAGUGCAAGAAAAAUGAAGGGUAACUUCAAAUUUAUUACGUAAUUGAGAGAUUAUUUGGCGUAGAGUCCAAGUAUCCUAUGAUAAAAAAGCUUUCCUACUGUUUAGUGAUAGCCUAAAGGAAGUUAAGACCGUACUUCUAGGCCCAUGCCAUUAAGGUACUCAGGAACCACCCUCUCCGCCAAGUCUUGAAGCAGCUAGAAUCCUUAGGAAGACUGCUUAAGUGGGCCAUAGAGCUCAGUCAAUUUUAUAUUCAGUACCAGCUAAGAAUAUCCAUCAAGGGUCAAGCCCUCAUUGAUUUCAUUGUGGAAUGCAUCGGAAUCAACGACGAUCCAAAAGAACUAGUUCCAGGACUGGUGAUUUAGAAAAUCUAUAUCGGUAGAGCCUUUAACAAGAAAGGUUUCAGAGCAAGAAUAAUUCAAAUCUCACUGCAAGGGCUCAAAAGUGCCCUCCAAUUCAAGUUCAUCGCCUCCAAUAACGAAGCAGAGCAUGAAACAGUGAUUACUAGUUUGCAUCUAGCUAAGGAAGUCAGUGCUGAAAACAUUGAAGUUUACAGCAACUCCCAGUUAGUGGUGAACCAAAUAUUAGGGGAGUAUCAAACUAAGGGAGAAAAGAUGGCUACUUAUGUCUCCAAAGCUCGAUAACUGCUCUAGAAUUUUAAAACAUAUACUAUCCAGUAGGUCUCCAGGGAUCAUAAUGCCUUUGAGGACAUGUUGGCUAAGUUAGCAAUAGAUAUAGAAAUAGAGGAACAUAAAUUGGUCCCCAUAGCUCGUCUCAUUGUACUAAGUACCCAGAUGCUGGGGUAAACGUCAAUUACCACCCCAACUAUUGGAUAGGCCCAAUCUACAAGUUCUUAAGUUCCGAAGAGCUCUUGAUAGAUAGAGAAGCUGCGAGAAAAAUCCAAUAUCAAGCUCCCAUCUACGUAAUCCUAGAAAAAAAUUAUACAUAAGAGGGUUGUUUGUACCAUACCUAUGGUGCAUAGCCAGGACCAAGAUCAGCGUGGUUAUCCACGAGAUACACGAUAGAGUUUGUGGAGAUCACACGUCUAGAAUAAGUCUAUCCAAGAAGAUCAUCCGGCGAGGGUGUUUCUGGCCCAUGAUGAAAAAGAUUGCAUUGACUACCUCCAAAAAUGAGAGCAAUGUAAUUGUUACACCAAGGUCCCUUAGGCUCCACCUACUGAAAUAGCACUCAUUAGUAGCCCAUGGCCUUUUGUGGUAUGAGGGAUUAACUUAGUAGGGUCUCUUCAAACUGGGAAAGGAUGAGUUAAAUACCCUAUAGUUGUCGUUGACUACUUCACCAAGUGUGUAGAAGUGAAAUCAAUGAACACGGUCACCUCUAAGAAGGCUUUGGAUUGUAAUCAAGAACACCAUAUGUCAUUUUGGCCUUCCACAUAAGAUCGUGUCCGAUAACAAUAAGCAGUUUGAUAGUGAUCACUUCACCAAUUUUUGUACUAAACAUGAAAUUAUCAAAAGCUUUUCGACUGUGGCCAGGCCACAAUCAAACAGACAAGUGGAGGUCAUCGAAAAGAUCCUAAAAAACACAUUGAAGAAGAAUUGCAAGCCUGCCAAGUGCAUUGGCUGGAAGAACUUCCCAGAGUUAUUUAGGCAUACCGAACAACUAAAAGAACUUCAAUGGGGCAUACUCCAUACUCUAUGGCAUAUGGUUGUGAGUUCGUCAUUCCAAUAUGCAAGAAACUUAUGACCCUACCUGGAACCACACUUUACUUCAAGAAUGACUAGAUUUAAUCGAAGAACUUCAGGAGCAGUCACAAGUUUAACUGAAAAUGUAUUAAGGCAAAAUUUCCUAACACUUUAGCUCGAAGAUCAUAAGCCAGAGGUUUGACGUCGGAGAUCUUGAUUUAAGAAGGGUUUAGGCAUCUCAAGAGUUGGAAGUGGGGCGACCCAACUGGUAAGAACCAUAUGAGAUCUAGCACAAGAUGACUGAACAUAGCAGUUAAAAACCCAUGAUGAAUCUAAGAUUCCACGAGCUUGGAAUGCGGACCACCUACGCCAGUACUAUUAGUAAAUGGGGGUAGCUGGAUCUUGUUUCACCUUACACGUUUUAUUUCUCUUUUCCUUUUCAAGAAAUGUAAGCCUCUAGUAACUCCCCAGGGCAAAGACAAUGUUGUAACAAU